This 418-nucleotide ribosomal RNA is filed under the name uncultured bacterium. RNAcentral's name for it is "bacterial SSU rRNA". It matches the Rfam family "Bacterial small subunit ribosomal RNA", at positions 29 to 492 of the family's 1533-position model. The record is from RNAcentral.
AACGAACGCUGGCGGCAGGCCUAACACAUGCAAGUCGAACGAACCCCUCGGGGUGAGUGGCGCACGGGUGCGUAACACGUGGGAAUAUACCCUUCAGUACGGAACAACACAGAGAAAUUUGUGCUAAUACCGUAUAAUGACUCCGGUCCAAAGAUUUAUCGCUGAAGGAUUAGCCCGCGUUUGAUUAGAUAGUUGGUGAGGUAAGAGCUCACCAAGUCGACGAUCAAUAGCUGGUUUGAGAGGAUGAUCAGCCACACUGGAACUGAGACACGGUCCAGACUCCUACGGGAGGCAGCAGUGAGGAAUAUUGGACAAUGGGCGCAAGCCUGAUCCAGCCAUGCCGCGUGAGUGACGACGGCCUUAGGGUUGUAAAGCUCUUUCAGAUGCGAAGAUAAUGACGGUAACAUCAGAAGAAGCU